GUGAAUCAUCGAGUCUUUGAACGCACCUUGCGCCCUUUGGUAUUCCGAAGGGCAUGCCUGUUUGAGUGUCAUUAAAUUAUCAACCCAAGAAGUUUAUUCUUUUUGUCGGCUUGGACUUGGGGGUUUGCUGGCUUCCUUCAGUGGAUGGUCUGCUCCCCUUAAAUGCAUUAGCGGGAUCUCUUGUGGACCGUCACUUGGUGUGAUAAUUAUCUAUGCCACGUUGACUUUGAAGCAAAACUUAUGGGAACCUGCUUAUAACCGUCCCUUGUGGACAACUUUAUUGACAAUUUGACCUCAAAUCAGGUAGGACUACCCGCUGAACUUAAGCAUAUCAAUAAGCGGAGG
Molecule: ribosomal RNA, 345 nt
Filed under: uncultured fungus
Lineage: Eukaryota; Fungi
Description: eukaryotic LSU rRNA
Rfam family: 5.8S ribosomal RNA (bases 1-71)
Source: RNAcentral